This 904-nucleotide ribosomal RNA is filed under the name uncultured bacterium. RNAcentral's name for it is "bacterial SSU rRNA". It matches the Rfam family "Bacterial small subunit ribosomal RNA", at positions 27 to 919 of the family's 1533-position model. The record is from RNAcentral.
GAUUGAACGCUGGCGGCAUGCCUAACACAUGCAAGUCGAACGGCAGCACGGUCUAGUUUACUAGAUGGGUGGCGAGUGGCGAACGGGUGAGUAAUGCGUAGGAAUAUACCUUAAAGAGGGGGACAACCUGGGGAAACUCAGGCUAAUACCGCGUAAUCUCUGAGGAGAAAAGCUGGGGACCGUAAGGCCUGGCGCUUUAAGAAUAGCCUGCGUCCGAUUAGCUAGUUGGUGGGGUAAAGGCCCACCAAGGCGACGAUCGGUAGCUGGUCUGAGAGGACGAACAGCCACACUGGGACUGAGACACGGCCCAGACUCUUACGGGAGGCAGCAGUGGGGAAUAUUGGACAAUGGGGGGAACCCUGAUCCAGCAAUGCCGCGUGUGUGAAGAAGGCCUGAGGGUUGUAAAGCACUUUCAGUGGGGAGGAGGAUUUGAAGGUUAAGAGCCAUUAAAUUGGACGUUACCCACAGAAGAAGCACCGGCUAACUCCGUGCCAGCAGCCGCGGUAAUACGGAGGGUGCGAGCGUUAAUCGGAAUUACUGGGCGUAAAGGGUGCGUAGGUGGUUAAUUAAGUUAGAUGUAAAAGCCCUGGGCUUAACCUGGGAUUGAGAUUUAAUACUGAUUGACUGGAGUAUUGGAGAGGGUAGUGGAAUUUCCGGUGUAGCGGUGAAAUGCGUAGAGAUCGGAAGGAACACCAGUGGCGAAGGCGGCUACCUGGCCAAAUACUGACACUGAAGCACGAAAGCGUGGGGAGCAAACAGGAUUAGAUACCCUGGUAGUCCACGCCGUAAACGAUGUCAACUAGCCGUUGGUCAUAUUAAGAUGAUAAGUGGCGCAGCAAACGCGAUAAGUUGACCGCCUGGGGAGUACGGUCGCAAGAUUAAAACUCAAAGGAAUUGACGGGGC